UUGACGGGGCCCGCACAAGCGGUGGAGCAUGUGGUUAAUUCGAAGCAACGCGAAGAACCUUACCAGGUCUUGACAUCCCCUGACAACCCAAGAGAUUGGGCGUUCCCCUUCGGGGGACAGGGUGACAGGUGGUGCAUGGUUGUCGUCAGCUCGUGUCGUGAGAUGUUGGGUUAAGUCCCGCAACGAGCGCAACCCUCGCCUCUAGUUGCCAGCAUUCGGUUGGGCACUCUAGAGGGACUGCCGGCGACAAGUCGGAGGAAGGUGGGGAUGACGUCAAAUCGUCAUGCCCCUUAUGACCUGGGCUACACACGUGCUACAAUGGGCGGUACAAAGGGCUGCGAACCCGCGAGGGGGAGCCAAUCCCAAAAAGCCGCUCUCAGUUCGGAUUGCAGGCUGCAACUCGCCUGCAUGAAGCCGGGAUCGCUAGUAAUCGCGGAUCAGCAUGCCGCGGUGAAUACGUUCCCGGGCCUU
This 471-nucleotide ribosomal RNA is filed under the name uncultured Geobacillus sp. Its description in RNAcentral is "bacterial SSU rRNA". It matches the Rfam family "Bacterial small subunit ribosomal RNA", at positions 910 to 1382 of the family's 1533-position model. Lineage: Bacteria; Bacillati; Bacillota; Bacilli; Caryophanales; Anoxybacillaceae. The record is from RNAcentral.